AUGCAGUCUGGUUCAAAGUUCGUCAAGAUUAUAGUGCCGGCUAGGAGGCUAUCAGCAUCUAUCAGUGGCACAACUGUGGGUUCUAGUAAGAAAGUGCGCGGUGCUGAAAAGCUUGCUCUGCUGGUCCAAAGCUGUGCAGAUGUUCGGUCUCUAAAGAAGCUGCAUGCUCGUGUUUUGGCACACGGACUUGGCUGGGAUGCGAUCCUUGGAUCUAAGAUCCUUGGCUUGUAUGCACAUUUAGGCGCCUUGCCUGAUUCAAGGCUUGUUUUCCAGAGUAUUGUGAAUGGCGAUCUUGCCCUUUGGAAUUCUGCCAUGGUUGAUUAUUUCAGAGCUGGUUACUUGGAGGAAGUUAUUCUUUUGUACAGGAGGCUGAAGUUGCAUCAGCUUUGUUUGAAUGAGAAAAGUAUUAUAUUUGGUUUGAAGAGUUGCACUCAGCUCAGGAAUUUGUUUUUGGGCAAAGGAAUGCAUGUAGAUUCACUGAAGCUUGGCCUGAGUGGGGAUAAAUUUGUCGGUUCCUCGCUGGUUGGGUUAUACUCCAAGCUUGGCAAGAUUGAUGAUUCACAGCGAGUGUUUGAAGAGAUCUUUGACAAGGAUAUUGUUGCUUACACUUCAAUGAUCUCUGGCUAUUCUGAUGUAGUGGAUUCGUCUGCGUGGAAUGCAUUCGAAAUUGCCAGUGAAAUGAUAAGGAAUAGCUUGGAAGUAAACCGUGUGACACUGGUAAGCUUAUUGCAAGUUGCUGGGAAUUUGGAAGCCUUCCGGCUGGGUAAAUCAAUGCACUGCUAUGCCAUAAGGAGAGGAAUUGGCGUCUCAGAUGAAGUCCUAGAGACAAGUCUUGUUGACAUGUAUGCUCGAUGUGGAGCUUAUCAAUUAGCGUAUGCUCUUUUGAACAAUUCAAAGGGAACCGUGGCUUCGUGGAAUGCUGUGCUUUCUGGUCUUACUAGAACUCAAGAGAGUAGGGAUGCAAUCCAGUAUUUUUCUGUUAUGCUGCAUCAUCAUAAAGUAACUCCAGAUUCAGUAACCUUUGCAAAUGUGCUUUCUGCUUGUGCUGAAUUAUGCUAUUGUGGCUAUGCUGCUAGUAUUCAUGCCUACUUGAUCAGAAGAACUAUAGCCCUGGAUCUUGUUUUGGCCACUGCUCUUAUUGAGGUGUACUCCAAGUGCAAAAGAGUUGUGAGAUCCAGGCAUCUCUUUGAUCAACUGACGGUUAAAGAUUUAGUCUCCUAUAACGUGAUGAUACAUGGUUAUCUGCAAAACGGCCUGGCAGAUGAAGCCACCACAUUACUCAAUGAAAUGAUGAAAGAAUGUAUUGCACCAAAUUCUGCAACUGUUGUUUGCCUGCUCGCAGCUUUUGCUGAUCAAAGGGAUUUAGUAAGAGGAAGGUGGAUUCACGGAUUUGCAAUUAGACAUGGCUUUUCUUCAGAUGUGGACAUUGCAAAUCAAAUUCUGCAUAUGUAUUCAAUUUGCAGAGAAAUUGUCGCGACAAAGAUUGUAUUUGACUCAUUGGAAAAGAAAAACUUGUUUUCAUGGACAGCCAUGAUGAAGGGGUGCUUAUCUUUUGGGCGUGCAGAUGAGGUUGUUCGAUUAUGUCAAUUAAUGCAGCAACACGGGGAGAAGCCCGAUUCUGUCACUCUUAUGUAUGCAGUUCAGGCUGUUUCUGAGCUUGGACAUCUGAAGGGUGUAAAAGAAAUUCAAUGCUUUGUUUACCAUGCCUCCAUGGAGAAAGAUACGAUUACCGCAAAUUCUUUGAUAACUGCAUAUGCUAAAUGUGGAAGGUUGGAUAUGUCAGAAGCUCUUUUCUUCAGUAUGGAACACAAAAACCUGGAUUCAUGGAAUGCGGUGAUCAGUGCUUAUGGGAUGCAUGGAUUUUAUCUUAAGGUUCUUGAAAUUUUUCAGCAAAUGGAAGAUGAAAAAAUUAAGCCUGAUGAGUUAACAUUCACUUCUGUGCUUUCUGCCUGCAGUCAUGCUGGCCUUGUUAAGGAGGGUUGGUGUAUUUUUCAGUCAAUGAUUUCGCUGUAUUCAGUUCAUCCACAAGAAGAGCACUAUGGUUGCAUAGUUGACUUAUUGGGUCGGGCAGGACAUUUAGAAGAAGGAUACAAAUUCAUAAAGCUAUUGUCGUUGACUGAUAAAUCGAGCAUGUAUUGUGCUCUCCUCUCUGCUUGCAGAACAUAUGGAAAUACACUGCUUGGGCAUAUUAUAAGCAAAGAGCUCCUUGAGCACGGACCACAGGACCCAGGUACUUAUGCUUUGAUUUCAGAAGUGUAUGCACAGGAAGGACAGUGGAAUGAAUCUGCUAAUUUAAGGGCUAGCGCUAACGGAAGUGAUUCAAAGAAACUUCCUGGCUCUAGUUUGAUGGAAUCAGUCUAG
This 2361-nucleotide ribosomal RNA is filed under the name Triticum aestivum (bread wheat). RNAcentral's name for it is "partial small subunit ribosomal RNA". The record is from RNAcentral. Lineage: Eukaryota; Viridiplantae; Streptophyta; Magnoliopsida; Poales; Poaceae.